ACUGACGCCUGCCCGGUGCCGGAAGGUUAAGAGGAUCCGUCAGCCUUCGGGUGAAGCGGUGAAUUCAAGCCCCGGUAAACGGCGGUGGUAACUAUAACCAUCCUAAGGUAGCGAAAUUCCUUGUCGGGUAAGUUCCGACCUGCACGAAUGGCGUAACGACUUCCCCACUGUCUCGACCAGGAGCUCGGCGAAAUUGCAGUACGAGUAAAGAUGCUCGUUAAGCGCAGAAGGACGAAAAGACCCCGGGACCUUUACUAUACCUUGGUAUUGGCAUUCGGUGUGGAUUGUGUAGCAUAGGCGGGAGGCCGAGAGGCGCGGUCGCCAGAUCGCGCGGAGCCGUAAGGUGAAAUACCGCUCUGUUCGCAUUGGAUGUCUAACCUCGAACAGUCAUCCUGUUCAGGGACAGUGCCUGGCGGGUAGUUUAACUGGGGCGGUUGCCUCCCAAAGAGUAACGGAGGCGCCCAAAGGUCCGCUCAGCCCGGUUGGCAAUCGGGUGGCGAGUGCAAGUGCACAAGCGGGCUUGACUGCGAGGACGACGGUCCGAGCAGGGACGAAAGUCGGGACUAGUGAUCCGGUGCCGGUGUACGGACGCGGCAUCGCUCAACGGAUAAAAGGUACCCCGGGGAUAACAGGCUGAUCAUUCCCAAGAGUCCAUAUCGACGGGAUGGUUUGGCACCUCGAUGUCGGCUCGUCGCAUCCUGGGGCUGGAGCAGGUCCCAAGGGUUCGGCUGUUCGCCGAUUAAAGCGGCACGCGAGCUGGGUUCAGAACGUCGUGAGACAGUUUGGUCUCUAUCCUCUGCGCUCGUUGGAAUGCUGAGGAGGCCUGCCCAUAGUACGAGAGGACCUGGGUGGACGAACCUCUGGUAUGCCGGUUGUCACGCCAGUGGCACGGCCGGUUGGCUACGUUCGGAAGGGAUAACCGCUGAAAGCAUCUAAGCGGGAAGCCUGCUCCAAGAUAAGCAUUCCGUGGAACCUUCGAGUUCCUGUAGUCCCCAUGCAGAACACGUGGUUGAUAGGCCGGACGUGGAAGCCCCGCGAGGGGUGGAGCCGACCGGUACUAACGGACGAAAGGCAACACUAA
RNAcentral lists this ribosomal RNA (1081 nucleotides) under Flavonifractor plautii. RNAcentral describes it as "partial 23S ribosomal RNA". It matches the Rfam family "Bacterial large subunit ribosomal RNA", at positions 1851 to 2925 of the family's 2925-position model. The record is from RNAcentral. Lineage: Bacteria; Bacillati; Bacillota; Clostridia; Eubacteriales; Oscillospiraceae.